GUUUUAAUCCGUCUUAAUCCACAGCUCUUCUCUCAUCAGUCGAUAUCCUUCAGUCUGCUUUACCACUGACGCAGCGUGCAGAAGGGAGAUUCCUAUGUGCCGCUUGUUGCAUUUGGUGAUCAGAGAUGAACGACAGAUAUAGCAGUAAUCUACGAAUAUCGUAGUAAAUGGGAAUAAAGCAAAGGAUGCAACUUUAAAUGAAGACGGAUCACAUCGUCAGAAGGUGGAUGGAAUUUUUAAAUAACAACUCAUUCGAAGGCACCUGAAGUCGAAGGACUUAAGGGGUGGAGAGAAACGAGAGCAACGAACUCUAGCGAAAUAUGCAGAUGUUGUUUUGGUCGGCGGGAAGAAAAGCGUUAAAAAAGAAAAAUAAAUUAUCUAAAAAUCAACGGCGUACAUCUCUGGCAUCCAGUAAACAACAGAUCCGACUGAUGUCUUGAAUGCGGAAUCUUACAGCGAAUACGUGCUUGGGCGCAAAUCUUUAUAAUGAUGGCCACAUUCCAAAGAGCAUUCCGACGAAGUGUUCAACAAAGACUUUACAGUUCGGUAGCAUCCAACAGAUCGCUGUAGAGAUGCAGGAAAUACGUCCGGUAGUGUGUCCGGUAAUGAUAUUGUCAUAUAAAAGUGAAAAAAAUAUAAAGACGCCUGAAACCUCGAAGGUCACAGUUCCUUACCCGGAUGAAAUAAAUCUCGUUCUUCCUUUCUGUGUGGUGCUUUACGAGACGUCGGUGGUGUGCUGGAGCAGGUGCUGAAGGUGAAGAUGUUAUCUUUAAAUUGCUCUUGUCUGUGCUGCUGAGUGGAGAUCAGCUCUUGAGGAUGGAUGUCUGAGGGCAUCACCUUCAGCUACGAAACUUCCUGACAUCCAAAAAAACAGCAAGUUACAGUUCCUCUUUCUAUGAAGGAGAAAAGAAUGAGCUGGCAGCUGAAAUCCCAGUUUGAGCCCAAACGAGUAGCUUAAUGCUGAUGCUGAGAAAGAUGGCAUGUGUCUUGAAGGACUGACAGCAGCAGAAGGUAAAAGGAAAAUGUUUUGACGGGUGUAUAGUUACGAUCAGUCCGUAGGAGGUAUUUGGGGAUGCCAUUUGACACAGGGUGCUUUUCUGCUUCCAUAUAUAUCGUCUUUGCUCAUUUUACCACGAGCGCCAAUAAUAGCGAAGGCCACUGUGAUGGUUUCAAGGCAAGUGCAGAUUUAAAGAUAUUCACAUAUCAAUAAUGCUCAAUUUUUUCCACCGUGAUGUAUAUGGAUGAAAAAUAAAAACUUUAUUUAUUGAAAUUCAAAAAUCAGCCCAUUAGGCCUGGAGUUUGAGGAGCUCUUCGCUAACAGCUGACCUUCACUCGGCCCCUCGUUGAUUCUUAUUAAGUGAUUCGAAACCGCUGUUGACUGUUAUGGAUGGACAGACACUGAUGAAAAAUGGCCGAAUCCUAUUCGGCGGAUUCAUUAACACGUUUAAGAGCAGUAAAUUCUUUUAUGAGUGGCGGUUUGGCUGAAGCUCAGUCAAUCAAAUCUACAGCCAGUGUGUUGAGCCGUGAUUUAGAGGCGUAAUUCACGCUCUUAAUUGGGUUCAUUAAUCAUUCGGUUCUCAUGGGAGGGGGUGGGGGU
This is a long non-coding RNA of Silurus meridionalis, 1597 nucleotides long. RefSeq lists it as uncharacterized. The transcript is spliced from 3 exons. NCBI's taxonomy places the organism in Eukaryota, Metazoa, Chordata, Actinopteri, Siluriformes, Siluridae. The record is from RefSeq and is a predicted model, not a curated record.